RNAcentral lists this long non-coding RNA (3844 nucleotides) under Citrus maxima (pomelo). Its description in RNAcentral is "long non-coding RNA (CMAX_LNC000672)". The record is from RNAcentral. Lineage: Eukaryota; Viridiplantae; Streptophyta; Magnoliopsida; Sapindales; Rutaceae.
CUGUUUUCUCUAAUGAACUCUGAUUGAUCUAUGCUCCUCUGCAUUGACUAUUGGCCUCACCUAAUCGCUUCAACUGGCAAAAUUAGGUAUUGAAAUGAAAGCGACUUGGAACAAAUAACAUAAACAAAUAACAUGGGUCAAACAGCAAAAACAAUCAAACAAACAAACAUAAACGUGACGUUGUAACAAAUAACAUGGGUCAAGAUAUAAAUCAACUGACCAACAUUGUUGAAUUGUCGAUAUUUUUAUUGACUUCAAUUGACUAACAACUUUCCUUCUUUUCUUGAAGGAUGGCUUUGGCGGCGUUUCUUGAAGGAUGGCUUGGACCUCUCGUUGAUUCGCGUCCUCGAUAUUGGUUCGUGGCUUUCGAUCUUCCUGAUCUCGCCGUCUUCCGAAGAGAAGACGUUUGUCGAAGUUAUCGCAAUCGACGCUCACCAUUGUCCUGGUAAGUCACGGUUAAGCUAACAGUAACGAUAACGGCAUUGAUAAUUGUUUGGACGGGAUAUUAUCAUUUUCCCACCGACGGUAUUCUGACACAUCAUGUCAGUACUAUGGUUUAGUAAAACUAUUAAUUUAUCACCAAAUAUUAAAACUGUUAGCAUUUUCUCACCAUUCCGUUAAAACUCAGUUAAUAUGUAAUGAAAAAUUUUUAAAAGGUCAAUUUUACCCCUGGAGCAUAAAAGACCAUGUAAUUAACCUUUUAUGAAUUUUGUAAUUAAAUCAUCAUUUAUUGUUCUUCCUUCUUAAAGGACAAAAAUUACCCUUUAUGAAUUUUGUAAAAUUGACCGUGUGGUGUUAGGUAAUUCAUAAAUUGAUUUAAUUUAUUUAAUUUUUAAAGGGCAAAUUUAUUUAUUUAAUUUUUUGUGUAAAAUUAUUAUCAUCAUAUCAAAGAUUAAAUUGCUUCUUUUGCACUUUUUUUUUCAAAUUUAUUUAUUUAAUUUUUUGUGUAAAAUUAUUAUCAUCAUAUCAAAGAUUAAAUUAAAUUGCUUCUUUUGCACUUUUUUUUUUUUUGCCCUUUCAUAAAUUGAGUUUUAGUAGUAUAAUAAAUUGUCUUUAGCUCGUCAAUUUAAUAAAUAAAUUUGCCCUUUAAAAAUUAAAUCAAUUUAUGAAGUACCUAGCACCACACGGUCAAUUUUACAAAAUUUAUAAAGGGUAAUUUUUGUCCUUUAAGAAGGAAGAACAACAAAUGAUGAUUUAAUUACAAAAUUCAUAAAAGGUUAAUUACAUAGUCUUUUACGCUCCAGGGGUAAAAUUGACAUUUUAUGAAUUUUCUGUUACAUAUUAAUUGAGUUUUAACGGAAUGGUGGGAAAAUGCUAACAGUUUAAACGUUUGGUGGUAAAUUGAUAGUUUUACCAAACCAUGGUACUGACAUGAUGUGUCAGAAUACCUUUAGUGGGAAAAUGAUAAUAUCCCUUGUUUGGACACUAAUAGUUUAUUUUAUUACUUGUUUUAAUUCAUUUCUUCUUAGCAUUAGUUUUUUUUAUUUCAAUUAUAAAUUAAUGUUAAAUUAUAGUUAAGACUGUCUUAAACUACUAUAAAUAAAUAGUUUUAAUUAUAUUUUUGAGGGAGUAAUAAUAUAAUUAAUUCUAUUUUAUGUUAAUUCUUCUCUCUUCCAUUUAAAUUCUUAAAUUCUUUAUUUAUUUCUCUCUUAAUUCUCUAAUCAAACCCUUAAAAUUCUACCAUCUGGUAUUAGAGCACAUCCUUCCUGCCACAAUUUUUAUUUUUCCAUUCACUUUUGCCAAUAUCUCUUGGCUUUCGACUGGAGAUUUAAACCGGACCCACCCUCUAAACUUUUUCCAACAUCUAAACUUUUUUAACCGAACCUGAAUUUUCUUGAGAGUUUUUUUGAGGCAUCAUGAUUUUUAAGGAGCUUGAAGGCAAAGUUCAACAGUUGUCUCAACAGUUUCAUGACAAAGUUACAACCAUCGAUGAAAAGGUUACGACCUUCGGCAAGCAAAAUAACGAUCUGCAGAAACUCAUGAAACAUCUUUCAGCAAUUGAGCCAGUUGCGAAAAGGAAAACAACCAACUACUGAUCAAAGACAAGUUGAUAUAUUUACUGGAGGGACCUUUGCUCCUCAAAUGGUAAUUGCUGCCCAACCACCUAUUGAACCUGGCGAACGCAUUGGAAGUACUCUCAUGCAAGCUUGUAACAUAUGACUUGACUUUCCUAUUUUUCAUGGUGACAAUCCAACGGGAUGGAUUUUUCGAUAUGAGCAAUGUCGUCGCCUUACUGGAUUAUCAGAUGUUGACUUAUUGUCCUUAGCUAUUGGCCAUCUUGAUGGUGAUACUGUACCUUGCAACUAGGGAUGGCAAAAUAACCCGGACCCGGACGAACCCGGAUAAUUCGGGCCGGGUUGAACCCGUAUCGGAGAGUAAAAAAAGCCGGAUCCGAAAUGGGUUUUAAUAACCCGGAUGAAUCCGGGUCCGGGUUUGGGGUAACCCGUGUAUCCGGAACUCGAACCCGGAUUCAUUUUUUAUAUUAUUUUUAAUUAUAUUUAUUAGUAAAUAUAAAUACAAAUAUUAAAAAAAAACCUAAUUCUAUUUCACAAGUCAAAGGCGUCAAACACACAAAUCGCGAUUUACACAAACAAGACAAACCCUAGCUGUGCCGCCGCUGCCGCCUUCCGCCUUCCGCUGUCCCGCAAGCAAGUCAAACAACUCUCGGCUAGGUUCGCCACCGUCGCAAGGUCGGUUCGCUGUCGUCGCAAGGUUGGGUUCGCGGUUCGUCGCAGCUUGUUUGGUUCACCAGAAUCACCACCGUCGCAUGCUUGCAGCAGUGCAGUUCCUCAAUUCGUUUGAUUCACCGGCGUGAGUAGCUGUUAUACUCUGUUUUAUGUGAUUUGUGCUAUGUGAUUUGUGAUAUUGAUUUGUGUUGUGUUAUACUGUUGUGAACACCACUGAUUUAUGUGAUUUGUGCUAUGUGAUUUGUGAUAUUGAUUUGUGUUGUGUUAUACACUUAUAUUGCCGUGAACACCACUAAUUUAUGCUUGAAAUGUUGUUGAUUGUUGGUGUUAAUAGAUUCGAAAUUGUAUAUUUCAAAUGUUAGAAAGCUGUUACAGUUAAAAAUAAAUUGUUGUUGUUAAUGGAUUUGUUGCUGUUAAUAGAUUCAAAAUUGUAUAAUUCAAAUGUUAGAAAGCUGUUACAGUUAAAAAUAAAUUGUUGUUGUUAAUGGAUUUGUUGCUGUUAAUAGAUUCGAAAAUGUAUUUUUGAAAUGUUAGAACUUAGAACAUUGUUACAGACUUACAGUAAAAAAAAUAAAUAUAAAAUGGAAGAAAUUGGAGGAAUGAUUGGUUAGUUUAAUUUGUUUUGACAUAAUUCUUGUAGGGUGUUAAAUUCAUAAUGGAAAAUGAACAAAGGUAUGGAAAAUUUAUUUAUUACAUAAAAUAAAUUAAUUUGUUAUAGUAUCAAUUUAUUACUAACUAACUGUUUUGUUCUUAUUUUUAUGAUUUAUUCAUGUUUUUUAGAUGGAAUUCCAGAGGAAGCAAUACUUUCUGCAGAACAGCUUAUUGAUGAAAGUUUGAUGAGUGAGUUGUGAACAACGAUGAGUCAAGUGAAGAAGAAUAGAAAAUGAUGGAGAAAAGUUUAAACUUUGGAUUUGUGGUUUUUAAUUUGAACUUUGAAUUGUAGACUUGUGUAAUUGUGUUAUGGAUUUAUAUUUGUGGCUGUUUUAUUACUUGAAACAGCCGUUUGAAUUGUAGAGUUUGCAAACUAGCUGUUUGAAUUGUAGAGUUUGCAGAGAGUUGAUUAAUUGUGAUUUGUGAGCACUGGACUAUUAUGCCAUAAUUGUGAUUUGUUGUUUAAGUCUUAAUUAUUAAGUGCUGGGAUGGCCUUUGAAACAUUG